Molecule: ribosomal RNA, 338 nt
Filed under: uncultured bacterium
Lineage: Bacteria
Description: bacterial SSU rRNA
Rfam family: Bacterial small subunit ribosomal RNA
Source: RNAcentral
CUGUACAGUUCAGAGUUUGAUCCUGGCUCAGGACGAACGCUGGCGGCGUGCCUAACACAUGCAAGUCGAGCGGAGACAAUGACUUCGGUUGUUGUUUUAGCGGCGGACGGGUGAGUAACGCGUGAGCAACCUUUCUCUUACUGGGGAAUAACACAGGGAAACUUGUACUAAUACCGCAUGAGACCACAGAUGGGCAUCCAUCAGGGGUCAAAGAUUUAUCGGUAAGAGGUGGGCUCGCGUCUGAUUAGAUAGUUGGUGGGGUAACGGCCUACCAAGUCGACGAUCAGUAGCCGACCUGAGAGGGUGAUCGGCCACAUUGGGACUGAGACACGGCCCAA